RNAcentral lists this ribosomal RNA (253 nucleotides) under uncultured bacterium. RNAcentral describes it as "partial 16S ribosomal RNA". It matches the Rfam family "Bacterial small subunit ribosomal RNA", at positions 524 to 776 of the family's 1533-position model. The record is from RNAcentral.
UACGUAGGUGGCAAGCGUUAUCCGGAUUUACUGGGUGUAAAGGGCGUGUAGGCGGGAAAGCAAGUCAGAUGUGAAAACCACGGGCUCAACCUGUGGCCUGCAUUUGAAACUGUUUUUCUUGAGUACUGGAGAGGCAGACGGAAUUCCUCGUGUAGCGGUGAAAUGCGUAGAUAUGAGGAGGAACACCAGUGGCGAAGGCGGUCUGCUGGACAGCAACUGACGCUGAGGCGCGAAAGCGUGAGGAGCAAACAGG